Molecule: long non-coding RNA, 1172 nt
Organism: Ictidomys tridecemlineatus (thirteen-lined ground squirrel)
Lineage: Eukaryota; Metazoa; Chordata; Mammalia; Rodentia; Sciuridae
Source: RefSeq, a predicted model, not a curated record
AGAGCCAGGUGAGCGGAAUGGGACCGUACAUUCAAGAGAAUAUUCUCAGCCUUGAAAAGGAAGGGCAUUUGAAAGAUGCUGCAGCAGGGGUGAACCCCAGGACCUCGUGCUAAGAGACAGGCCAGACUCCAGGGGCCAACCUUGUGCGAUUCUCAUAUGAGGCACCCAGGGGGUCAGGUUCGCAGGAACAGAAAGCGGGCGCAGGGGCUGGAGGUCAGAAAGGAUGUGAUUAUUUAAUGGGUGCAGCAUGUGGCUGGUUGGUAGAAACGUUCUGAGGACGUGGACGCCCAGGACGGCGGCAGAACAUAACCCUACUGAACUGCACUGAAGAAAUGGUCAAUUGGUAAUUUUUCUGUACGUCUCACAACGAUAAAAAAUUAGGAAUUUCUUAGAAGUUUAAAUAUCAACAACAGGACUUCACGCAGCUUCGGGACACCACUCUCCUGGUGUCUUCCCGGCUCUCCAGUCCCUCCUGGCUGGCUGGCCCGAAGCUGUGGGUCACGCGUGGCUCUGGUCCGCCAAGGACAGCAGGCAGGCGCUGUGCUCCACCUGCCUGUGGUCUGCGUAGGCGCCACACCCCAGUGCCCAUCCUGACCGCUCUUCUCUCCCCACUCAGAAUCGCGACACCCCUCACCCUGCGCCCUCAGCGGGCAGCCCCGGCCCCUGCUGCUUCUGUCCUCAUCCUCCUGCCAAAGGCCCCGCCCACUCCCGCCACACACCACACCCGGGAGGACCCCGGAGGACCCGCAUCCGUCUGCAGACCCUGGAGCCCUCUCCGUGGCUCUGGGGCUCCAUCAGUCGCCUCCCGCACAGAGGACACUAGGAGUCUCCUGCUGCCCGGUCGUCCUAUCCCAUGGGGUGUCCAGCUCCUGGAGGGCAGGGACUGUGGCCUUCACUCAUCAGCUCUCUGUUUUGAGAUAAUAAGGCCCUGUGUCCUCUAUGUGAAGUGGCACCUACAGGACAGAAUUCCAAGUGUCCUCCUGACUUCUUCCAAUGGCGCUCAAUACCAGAAUCAGGAAAUCUACUGCAUACGUGUACGAAUAUGUGACAGCGAAUCCUAUCAUUGUUUUCUGUAAUGCACCAGGAAGUCAACCGUGGGUACCAUAUCGCUAACUGGACUACAGACUUUAUUCCCCGUCCAUUGUUAAAGUGCAUCUUUGGUUGUGCGUGAA